Molecule: ribosomal RNA, 305 nt
Filed under: uncultured bacterium
Lineage: Bacteria
Description: bacterial SSU rRNA
Rfam family: Bacterial small subunit ribosomal RNA
Source: RNAcentral
UUUCCUACGGGGGGCAGCAGUGAGGAAUAUUGGUCAAUGGGCGGGAGCCUGAACCAGCCAAGUCGCGUGAAGGAAGAAGGUACUUAGUAUUGUAAACUUCUUUUGUCGGGGAACAAAGGCGGAGACGCGUCUCCGGAUGAGUGUACCCGAAGAAAAAGCAUCGGCUAACUCCGUGCCAGCAGCCGCGGUAAUACGGAGGAUCCGAGCGUUAUCCGGAUUUAUUGGGUUUAAAGGGAGCGUAGGUGGAUUGUUAAGUCAGUUGUGAAAGUUUGCGGCUCAACCGUAAAAUUGCAGUUGAAACUGGC